GUGGGGAAUCUUGCGCAAUGGGCGAAAGCCUGACGCAGCCAUGCCGCGUGAAUGAUGAAGGUCUUAGGAUUGUAAAAUUCUUUCACCGGGGACGAUAAUGACGGUACCCGGAGAAGAAGCCCCGGCUAACUUCGUGCCAGCAGCCGCGGUAAUACGAAGGGGGCUAGCGUUGCUCGGAAUUACUGGGCGUAAAGGGCGCGUAGGCGGACAGUUUAGUCAGAGGUGAAAGCCCAGGGCUCAACCUUGGAAUUGCCUUUGAUACUGGCUGUCUUGAGUACGGGAGAGGUGAGUGGAACUCCGAGUGUAGAGGUGAAAUUCGUAGAUAGUCGGAAGAACACCAGUGGAGAAGGCGACUCACUGGCCCGUUACUGACGCUGAGGCGCGAAAGCGUGGGGAGCAAACAGGAUUAGAAACCCGUGUAGUCC
This 425-nucleotide ribosomal RNA is filed under the name uncultured bacterium. RNAcentral describes it as "partial 16S ribosomal RNA". It matches the Rfam family "Bacterial small subunit ribosomal RNA", at positions 354 to 796 of the family's 1533-position model. The record is from RNAcentral.